Molecule: long non-coding RNA, 352 nt
Organism: Gorilla gorilla gorilla (western lowland gorilla)
Lineage: Eukaryota; Metazoa; Chordata; Mammalia; Primates; Hominidae
Exons: 2
Source: RefSeq, a predicted model, not a curated record
CACCAACAAGUCACUUCCGGCAGAGCUCAUGGCCACAGUGCAAGUUAAAAAAGAUGGCAGUAGCAGAAUUAGUGAAAGUAUUAAAGUCUUUGAUCUUUCUGAGAAGAGCAUAGAAGAAAUAAUGACAUAAACUGUCCUCUCUCCGCCUCGGCUACCUAAAAGGUAAAGACCCCUGUCUGGUGGACACGUGACUCAUGUGACCUUAUCUAUCGAUAGAGAUGACUCACACUCCUUACCCUGCCCCUUUUGCCUUGUAUACAAUAAAUAGCAGCGCGGUCAGGCAUUCAGGGCCACUACUGGUCUCCGCGUCUAGGUGGUAGUGGUCCCCCUGGCCCAGCUGUCUUUUCUUCUA